Molecule: ribosomal RNA, 268 nt
Filed under: uncultured Glomus
Lineage: Eukaryota; Fungi; Glomeromycota; Glomeromycetes; Glomerales; Glomeraceae
Description: partial small subunit ribosomal RNA
Rfam family: Eukaryotic small subunit ribosomal RNA
Source: RNAcentral
UAAAGUUGUUGCAGUUCAACAGCUCGUAGUUGAAUUUCGGGAUCAGCAGGUUGGUCGUGACACUGGUAUGCACUGGCUUUGCUGGUUCCUCCUUUCUGAAGGACUGUAAUGCCAUUAAUUUGGUGUUGCAGGGAAACAGGACUGUUACUUUGAAAAAAUUAGAGUGUUUAAAGCAGGCUAACGCUUGAAUACAUUAGCAUGGAAUAAUGAAAUAGGACGUUCAAACCUAUUUUGUUGGUUUCUAGGAUUGACGUAAUGAUUAAUAGGG